UACGUAGGGUGCAAGCGUUGUCCGGAAUUAUUGGGCGUAAAGAGCUCGUAGGCGGCCUGUUGCGUCCGCUGUGAAAUCCCGGGGCUCAACCCCGGGCCUGCAGUGGAUACGGGCUGGCUAGAGGCAGGCAGGGGAGAACGGAAUUCCUGGUGUAGCGGUGAAAUGCGCAGAUAUCAGGAGGAACACCGGUGGCGAAGGCGGUCCUCUGGGCCUGUACUGACGCUGAGGAGCGAAAGCGUGGGGAGCGAACAGG
Molecule: ribosomal RNA, 253 nt
Filed under: uncultured bacterium
Lineage: Bacteria
Description: partial 16S ribosomal RNA
Rfam family: Bacterial small subunit ribosomal RNA
Source: RNAcentral